GAUGAAGAACGUAGCGAAAUGCGAUAAGUAGUGUGAAUUGCAGAAUUCAGUGAAUCAUCGAAUCUUUGAUCGCACAUUGCGCCCCUUGGUAUUCCAUGGGGCAUGCCUGUUCGAGCGUCAUUUGUACCUUCAAGCUUUGCUUGGUGUUGGGUGUUUGUCUCGCCUUUGCGUGUAGACUCGCCUUAAAAUAAUUGGCAGCCGGCGUAUUGAUUUCGGAGCGCAGUACAUCUCGCGCUUUGCACUCAUAACGACAGCGUCCAAAAGUACAUUUUACACUCUUGACCUCGGAUCAGGUAGGGAUACCCGCUGAACUUAAGCAUAUCAAAAAGCGGAGGA
RNAcentral lists this unclassified non-coding RNA (336 nucleotides) under soil metagenome. RNAcentral's name for it is "partial contains 5.8S ribosomal RNA, internal transcribed spacer 2, and large subunit ribosomal RNA". The stretch from base 1 to 120 matches the Rfam family "5.8S ribosomal RNA", at positions 35 to 154 of the family's 154-position model. The record is from RNAcentral.